RNAcentral lists this long non-coding RNA (527 nucleotides) under Nicotiana benthamiana. Its description in RNAcentral is "long non-coding RNA (NBEN_LNC023989)". The record is from RNAcentral. Lineage: Eukaryota; Viridiplantae; Streptophyta; Magnoliopsida; Solanales; Solanaceae.
AAAAUCUAGCUAAAUCGAAUAAGUAAUAUUCUAAUUUUAUAUCUAUAAGGAAAAAUCACUUUAUUAUUUUUGUUUACUGGGUGCCGGUAAAUAUUUUCGUUAUCACUGACUUAAGAGGUAAAGAUUGAUGUGCUUGAAUUCAAAGGUAAUAAAUUCUGGAUUGAAGCCUCCUAUUGCAAUCGUAGCAUUUUAGUCCACCAAAGAUGUGGCAAAUUUCCUCCCAUUAACCACUAUUUGUUCACAAGACAUUCCGUUGAAAUACAAGUUGUCCGAUAAUGGGAAAAUUAUUUUGAAUUUAAACUCUACAUUUUCGUUCAACUUAUUCAAAUAUAUCUACGAACUUCUAGAAAUAGAUACUCAAAUGAUCAACACUUACAAUCGGUCGAUUAUGUGAUUAAGUGUCAAGUAUCUCUCUAGUCUCCAGUUAAUUCGACUUAAACAGCAUCCAUAUCUUCACCCACAUUAAAUAGUUCUACCAGAAAUUCUUCUUUAUUUUACUUAGAAAACUCAAAACUACAAAAAAUAUC